This is a long non-coding RNA of Micropterus dolomieu (smallmouth bass), 3703 nucleotides long. RefSeq lists it as uncharacterized. The transcript has 10 exons. The record is from RefSeq and is a predicted model, not a curated record. NCBI's taxonomy places the organism in Eukaryota, Metazoa, Chordata, Actinopteri, Centrarchiformes, Centrarchidae.
CUGAAAUUAACGGUCAAAACGGCCGCUGAAAUAUUACAACCUAAUUCGCGUUGAAAGCGUUAUGUUUGGCGGUAAAAUGAAAGUUUAAUCAAUUACACUUGCUACAGGCUAACAGAAAACGACACAAAGUCGUUAGCUUCGUUACGGACUGCUGGAGAAAAUGGAAUCUGCUAAAAGAGAGUCUAAAGUCAGGCUAAUUGCUGACUUACUCAGGCGUGUUGACCCAUAUGAUGUCCAGGUGGCAGAAGUAGACGCACUCCUUGUCCAGGAAAGUGGCGCAGGAGCAGCGUUUGGUCCGCACAUGGCGCCCCUGGGUGGCGGGGGAGUCAGGUAAGGCUGCACAGUGAAGCACUGUACCUGAGUCAUCUGCAUCCUGAUCCUCAAUGAGACCUGCAGGAACCCCCAUCUCCAAGCAUUUCUUACUGUGGGCCUUGGAUUUCAUGUGCUUGGUCAGAUUUCCUGCAAUAAGAGAUGCAAUAAAGGUCUUACGGGUGGGUAGAGCUUGAACAAUAGCACAGAAGGAGUUUAUGUAAGAGAAUGCGGUCUUUGGGCAAGCUGUAUGUAAAGGGAGAAGUUGCAAUGGACACAGUGGUACGGCCGGACAUCAGAGUGGGUGCGGAUGUGUUUGCGCAGCAUGCUGGGCUUCUUGCAGCGGAUACCACAUUCCUCACAGAUGUAUUUACCCCGUCCACGCCCACGCACACGCCACAGAUUACAUAAUGCAUCCCCACCCCUGUGCUGCCAUGGAGCAAAACAAAGGCACCCUGCCAGCGGAAACACAGCAACCGAUGCGCAGGAGGAGAGGGCACGGUGAUUGUUUAUGACUAUAUCUUGGUCGGGAGCAUUUGUCAGGCAUCCAGCAGCGACUCCAUGAGCUGGGGCUCUGCAGCGGUUUGGGGCGUUGCCAGCGGUUUCCUCAGAAUAAUGUGACGAGGAGGGGAAUUCCUGUAAGGCCCAGGAAGAGGGGGGGGUGACCUGCCCAGACAGAGGAGGCCGGGUGACGUCACUUAAACCGGCUUUGGCACCCUCCAGGAGAUCCUUCUCCCGCUCUCCCUUCCUCGUUUGUGUCAGAGGGGGGAGGAAUUUAACGUGUCCUGCCAACUGCUGGUUGCCCAAUAGCUCACUCAGAGGUGAAUGGAAACACAGUGAGCAAACAGGAAGUCGUGCAACACCAGAGGAUUAACCGAGGCCACUGAUGAGGUGGAUGUUUCCAAUAGAGCCGGCAAGAUGAUGAAUUUAAAAGAGCGUACAUGUAUUCUUACGUGAAGCCGCCCAGCAGGGGAGAGGGAGGGGAGCUAAGGGAGUCUGAUGAUCUCAUGGUGUGUGGAAGAAGAAGAAGAAGUCAGAAGUGUCUAAGUUCAGCCCUGCUCUAUCUCUGGAUUGUUGCAUAACACCAACAGCUCAGUCCACAGGCUUAUCCUAUCCUCCCGCUCAUGUUGUACGUCAGCUGCUGCCUGGGCGAGGAGCACCAGCACGCCGCCGCAGACCAGCGCUAGUUAUUGCUGGGGGGGUUAAUGAGCUGCCGGAGAUGUUAACCCCUUGACUUUCACUGUUGUUACUCAGAAGAGAUGCUUACAGGAAAGAUGACAGAUUUGUUGGCUGAAACGUGUUUACUUUAUGUCAGCUAACUACAACUGAAACAAUUAGUGGAUUCAAUCAAUCCACAGAAAAUUACAUCUGCAACUAUUUUGAUUAUAAUUUUAUAAGCAACAAUGCCAACAUUUCAUGGUUCCAGCUUCUCAAAUGUGAAGAUUUUUGUUUCCUUGUAUUAAUAAUGUACUAUAAUAUAGGAGACUGAUGUCUGUUUGUGAAGAAGCAAACAGAAUAUUUUUGGACUGUUGGCUGGACAAAAAGAGCAAUCUGAAGACGUCGCCUUGAUCUCUAGUAAAUUGUGAUGGAUUGCUUUCCACUAUUUUCUGACUUUACAGACCAUAAUCACCAUUAAUCAAGAAAAUAAUUGGCAGAUUAAUCGAUGAUGAAACUAAAAGUCUGUUUGAGCUCUAAAAAUAAGUGAAAACAUUGUGAAUCCUGAUCAGUUUAAAUGCCCAUCACAGCAGGAUUGAGCCCCCAUGAAAAAAACACUAACAAGAGAGGUGGGCAGGGGAGCGAUUACAAACUUUGGCAAAUUUCAGGAGAAAUGAAAUGAUGCAAUGGCAUAAGAGAUAAUAAGGAGGGAGACAAAGACAGACACGAGCUGUGAAACAAAUGCUGAAGAGAAAAAAAAAAAGCCUGCACCGAGGAAUAAAACACAAACUGAUCAGCACAAAGACGAGCUCUCGCAGCACUGCACAAUACCUGUUACGAAGGAGAAGUGUGCCAAAGAAAGUCGACACUUUCUCAGAGAGUAGCUGCCGGCUGGAUUUUCCCUCCCGGAGUCAGACACGCUUACGGGGGAACACCUGACAUUCCCGACCCAUUCAGACACUUUCCCCAACCAAUAACUGCUGACAUUCCUGUGCUGCGCUCAGUCUCCCCACAAAAAAAAGAAAAGGACAAAACUGAAAUGCCACGGCAGAGCGGAAAGCAGAGCGUCUGGCCGCCGUCUGUCUGUCCCCUGUGUUUCUGUGCUUUCACUUCUCACUUCUGCCUGGUUUCUCCGCUGUCAGUGUAGCAACCACGCUUCUUUCUCCUCCCUGCCUGCCUUUGUGUUCCUUCUUCCCCCUCCUCGCCUCUCUUCUCCUCCCUCUUCGUCUUCCUUUAAAAAAAAAAAAUGAAAAAACAAAUCCCAGCUCUAAUUCAGGGAAAGCCCUGCCUGCCUGCCUGCCUGCCCUGCCUGCCCUGCCUGCCUGCGCGCUGCUUCCCCGAGCUGAGAAGCAGUGUUCUCUUUUUUGAUAAAAAAAAAAAUAAAAAAAAAAAGCAAAACAAAGCAGGAUGGAAGCUCUAAAAACAGCACAGGUCUAAUUCCACUGCAGCUCACUCACACUCACACACACACACACAGUCAACAUCAGAUUAGCAGCUAACCUACUUGUGGAGUACAACCUCCCACGUCCCCGCAGAGGCUAUAAAUACGCUUCUAUCUGUUCUGUGCAUUGAUCCUAUCAGUGUAGGGAGAGGCCAGGGACAGCCGCACACGGAUGGACGAAGACGCUAAUUGGAGAAGCCGCAGAAAGGUGUGUGACGUAUGGGGUUCACCUACACUGCCUCCUCAUCAGCACGCAGGGAAGAGAGACCGAGUGAAAGUAUAUUACUUUCAUUAUCACUCGAUCUUCAAAUUAGUUUCGCUAUUCAUAUAUUUCGAUUAUAAAACUCACAGAAUAGUGGAAUAACGUCUUCAAAAGUGCUUGUUUUGUCCAACCAACAGUCCAAAACGUAAACACAUUCAGUUUACUGUCACAUAAGAUGAAGAAAUGAAACAAAUGCCAAACACAGCUAUUCAGCAUUUACUAUAUAAAUCCUCUUAAAGCCCACCGGGUCGCCCUCUUGAGCUACUUCUAAGGUGCUUAGAUCGUGCAUACCAAUAUAAAUGUUUAAACCUUUGUCAAUAAGAACAUGCUUCCCAUCCUUAGAUCUAUUACAUUCUCCACAAUUCAAUCAUUUAAGUAAUUUGUCUGAAACAAUGAACAUCAAUUCAUUCAGAUUUACCGGCAUGGUAAAAAAAUUAACGUCCCGUCCCAUACAGAUGCCUAUCCCAAAUAUAGACUGGGUGAGUUCAGUGAUUUAAGCAAAUAUAGGCAUUAAUUAAAGUUUUACAGUAAGUCUC